RNAcentral lists this transfer RNA (72 nucleotides) under Toxocara canis (dog roundworm). It matches the Rfam family "tRNA". Rfam says of the family: Transfer RNA (tRNA) molecules are approximately 80 nucleotides in length. Their secondary structure includes four short double-helical elements and three loops (D, anti-codon, and T loops). Lineage: Eukaryota; Metazoa; Nematoda; Chromadorea; Rhabditida; Toxocaridae. The record is from Rfam by way of RNAcentral.
CGGGCAGUAGCUCAGUGGUAGAGCUCCCGCCUCAUACAUGGGAAAACCUGGGUUCGAUUCCCUGCUGCUUGC